Long non-coding RNA from Cucurbita moschata (crookneck pumpkin), 332 nucleotides. RefSeq lists it as uncharacterized. The transcript is spliced from 3 exons. The record is from RefSeq and is a predicted model, not a curated record. NCBI's taxonomy places the organism in Eukaryota, Viridiplantae, Streptophyta, Magnoliopsida, Cucurbitales, Cucurbitaceae.
AAUAAGUGGAAACCGAGAGAGCAAACUAAUGCUUUUCGAAAUCCUUAAGGACAUCUUCAAAAGAUAAGAGAAUGGGCUCUUUGAAGUGAAGUCCAAAGUGUCUCACCUUUGCAAUAUAUGACCAAGGAAUACCAUCAUUAUUUAAAGCUUCUAUCACAAGAAUAUAAAGUCGAGGACCUGAGUGGUCGUUGAUCAUAUCGGACAGACCGUUCACCACACUCUUGUAAAUGAAAGAAUUUCCACUCCUCUUGUUAUGUUGUUCCACUGCAGACCAUCCAGCAUAUUGCACUUUUUCGUCACUGACAUCCUUAAUAGGAUUUGAUGGCAAAACG